AUGAACGCUAGCGACAGGCCUAACACAUGCAAGUCGAGGGGCAGCACAAGGAGCAAUCUGAGGUGGCGACCGGCGCACGGGUGAGUAACACGUAUGCAACCUGCCUGUAAGCGGGGAAUAACCCGUUGAAAGACGGACUAAUACCGCAUAAUACUAAAUUACUGCAUGGUAAUUUAUUUAAACAUUUAUGGCUUACAGAUGGGCAUGCGCAUGAUUAGCUAGUUGGAGAGGUAACGGCUCCCCAAGGCAACGAUCAUUAGGGGUUCUGAGAGGAAGGUCCCCCACACUGGUACUGAGACACGGACCAGACUCCUACGGGAGGCAGCAGUGAGGAAUAUUGGUCAAUGGACGAGAGUCUGAACCAGCCAAGUCGCGUGCAGGAAGAAUGUCCUUAAUGGAUUGUAAACUGCUUUUGCAGGGGAAUAAAGUGCAUCACGUGUGAUGUUUUGUAUGUACUCUGCGAAUAAGGAUCGGCUAACUCCGUGCCAGCAGCUGC
RNAcentral lists this ribosomal RNA (496 nucleotides) under uncultured bacterium. RNAcentral's name for it is "bacterial SSU rRNA". It matches the Rfam family "Bacterial small subunit ribosomal RNA", at positions 29 to 518 of the family's 1533-position model. The record is from RNAcentral.